AGCAAAUGUACAACCGUGUCCUCCUCCCCACGAAUCGAACGGUUAGUCCCCUAGAGUUGGACGACUGGCUAUCAUAAAACGCGGCGAGCCCACCCCUCAAUGAUACCGUCCAAUUGCGCGCAGUGCCUGCUUGCCCGCCGUGGAUAUGCAGGGCAUUCAGCGGUUCCUCUCCCAGGGCCCGGCACCUAACGUCGUCUCACGGCACGUUGUUCGUACCGGCGUCGUGCUGUAGCCCUGCCCGGGCUGGAGCAGCUAGGCAUCGCGUUGUGCCGGUAGGUCUUGGGGAAGCGGUAACGUGUCGACGCUGUACCAGCUAGCCCGUUACGGCACUCCAAUCUACCCGCCCGUUAUCUCUCCCUGUUCUCUCAACAUGGACUGACAUCAUUCAAGCCUGGUUGGCCUACAUAGCUGGGGUAUUGAUUGGUUCCUAUCACUAACCGCUUUCGCCUAUUCUAUUUGAUUCCUUAUCGGAAAUGGAUCCAACGCCAGAGGAGGCUAUCCGGUGAUAUCUGGUGCGGAUUUAUGGAGACCACAUCUGCGUGGCAAUCCCUUGGAUAGGCAGGAGAUAACAGAAGUGUCGCAACACCUAUUUUCUGGCUAGGAAGCCCCUGCAGCGGUUAAAAGAAGGAGUUCUGUACGGUUCUAGUACUGAUCAGAUGGCGGGCUUUUAGAACCUGAUCCCAUCAGCCCUGUAACCACGGGAGCACUUCACACGGUGUGCGCGUCAGAUCGUCAAGGCGACCAGGGGACUUUACUACCGGAAAACAGCCUCAGUCAGAGGUAUUAAGUUACACGGCGAAUUUUGUUAUUGCCAUUCCGUAUUGUUAAACUGUUUUUGAAUCACCUGAGCUUUCGCAUACUCAGAUCUCUCGAAGCAGAUCUGACAGCAUCUCACAGAUCUGUUGAUUAAUGAAAAGCAAACACCUCGGGACAAAUAGUGUUCCGCGGAGCAUUGGAAUGGACUUCCGAAGUUGAAUCAGCAGCGCUGUCAGGACCAUUCGUCUAUGGUUUGUAUUUUAUCCGUAGACCUUUCAGUUCCUCUUUGUCUCCAUCCUUUGAAUCGACUUUUGCCUUGGUGCUGCGAAGGUGAAUUACCAGCCUUUUCUAAGGUGACGAUACUGACAUAACCGUCAGUGCUGUGAUUACCAUUUCGACUGGUGAGGUGCAGCCUGAGAAAACAGAAACGUGACGGGGAGGUGUCAUGGCCGACCGGUGCCUGUCUCGAAUGUCUACCUAGGCUCAGGAGGGAGUUACUUGGGGUUAAGGAUUCCGCUCCGUGGAACGUGGACGUGCUAUGUUCGGGACGGAACCAGCGCAGUACAGGAAGUAAGGGUGCCAUGGCUGCCGCUUGCUGCUGCUGCAGCCCAAGGCUGAAUGAAGACAACGCCAGGUUCAUCCUGUUAGCCUUCUUCAUCACUGGCUACAUGAUCAUCGGAGCCGCCAUUUUCUCGGAGUUUGAAUACGACAAAGAACAGGAGGACCGAGGGGAGUACGACACAGCCCUGGAACUGUUCCGCCAGCGGUACCCGGACAUCAACAUCUCGGACCUGAACCAAUUACUGGAGGCGCACGCCGAGGCUAGCUCACGAGGCCUACUCACCUCCAAAAGGCCCCGUUGGGACUUUCCCGGGGCCUUCUACUUCGUAGGAACAGUGGUGUCAACAAUAGGGUUUGGGAUGACGACCCCACAGACGGAUGAGGGGAAGAUCUUCCUGCUGUUUUACGGACUGUUCGGCUGCGCCUCCACCAUCCUGUUCUUCAACCUGUUCCUGGAGCGGAUCAUCACGUGUUUGGCCUUCUGCAUGAAAAAGUGCCACGAGCGCGACCUGAGGCGGAAAGGCCUCCUCAACCAGCAGCCGUCCAACAGUCGCAGCUCGGAGGGAGACAGCGAUUCCCUGGAGGCGUGGAAGCCCUCCGUGUACUGGGUCAUGCUGUAUCUUGGUAUAGCGGCGAUAGCGAUAGCCUGCAGCGCCGCCGCCAUGUACAGUCCCGUAGAGAAGUGGACCUACCUGGAAUCCAUCUACUUCUGCUUCAUUGCCUUCAGCACCAUCGGGUUCGGGGAUUACGUCGCCAGCCAGAAUGUCAAGUACCAGAACCAGCCGUUUUACAGGUUCGGCAACUUCAUCUUCAUCCUCAUCGGGGCAUGCUGCAUCUAUUCACUAUUCAACGUCAUCUCCAUCAUCAUCAAGCAGUUCCUGACGUGGAUCAUCAGGAAGACCAUCAAAUACUGCUGUCGCUGCUGUAAGAAGAAGCAGCAGCCCAAGGGCCGGCCAAGGAGGAACGCCAUCACCCCUGGCCACCUCAAGAGACGGCUGCAGAUGCAGUCCAGGGCCAACCACGCGGACAACUCGCGGUCGCCCCCCGCGGACGUGCCGGCUCCAGAACCCGACAGGCUCAGCUACGACAGCGACUCGGACAGCAGGAGAAUGUCGGGAGAAAUGAUCUCCAUGAGGGACUUCCUCGCGUCAAACAAGGUCAGCCUCGCCAUCAUGCAAAAACAGCUCUCGGAGACGGCGAACCACGCACGCGCAGCCCCUCCUCCCAGGCACUCCCACUACAAUGGUGGAGGGCUGGCGGGAGGUGUUGGGGCACUCGCGAUCUUGAACAGCAAACUAGCAGGAGAAGCCAAUAAGCAGUGAAACCACGAAGGAUGUUCGUCACAAAGCCAAAGUGUUGGCGUUUCAGCAGAUCACUUAGCAUUGCUACGAACCGAUUUGAAGGUAUCUAAAGGUAUAAAGCCAAACUGAAACAAAAGAUGGAAUGCUUCAUUGCCUGUUGGGGUUCUCCCGAGAGAAGUGAAUAUCUCUACUAGUAUUUCUACAGAGAGCAGUCACUAUGUCACGAGCGCAUCUCGCCGUCACUAGCUUGGAAAAGUGACUGGCAAGAAUGCUUCAGCACAUGCUUCCCGUACAAUGGAUGCGGGCACGGCUACACGAGACACCAGAGAAGCCGCCUUAUUUCUACUCAGUGACGUUGAUGAAGACAUGUGAGCAUGAAAGGUUUCGAUAGAUCAACUGCAGACAUCCCAGAGAGAAAAUACAACAACAACACACAUGUGGAAAAACGGACUUCCGCCGAGCAGUGUGACAGGAUGACGUAUUGGCAAUAAACUGUGAUGCGGCAGCGAUGACUGAACAUGGCGGCAACGGCCAACAAAUUGUCACCAGGUCAAACAACAGACGAAGACGUGAACUAACUCUUAUAGACGUUAUUCCCCAUACGGACGCUUUGCGUAACCGUGUCGACUAUUCCAGUGAGCAACUGGUCUGUUUGGUGUGGGAAUCUAUCAUAAGCAGCCAAGCAGCCACGAGUCAUAGUGUAAGGACAGCAUGCUCACCCAUGACUGAAAAAGCUUAGCACGCCUCAGUAUCUACAUUGAUGUUGCUACAGCUUUCGGCUAACAGACGUCAUACAAGGUCAUCCGCAAGCACUAGUUGAGAAGACCUUGUCUUUAGUUCUUUCUCUACCGCAUAAGACUUUGUACUUAUAACGUUCGCACCACGUGGCUACAAGCGUGAAUUAAGGAUGUAAACUAUCCUUGCAUUACAAGCCUUUCCUCAGGAACUUCUGCUCUAAAACACAGGACGUUUAAAAGGUGGUCGCCAUCUUAUUCAAUGGCUUAAAGACGCUUAACAUACCCAGCUACGUCGUUGAUGAUACAUGUUGGUCUUGUUUGGAAAUACCUCCACCUUUCAUUUGACCUAAUCAUUGUCAUUGGUUGUUAGACAGGCACUCAAGUUUGCCAUAUUUUCUUUCAAAGAAGUAAAAUUCUGGCUUUUAAUUUUUGCCCUGACUACCAACAUUUUACGGAAGACAGAGCCCCACUGACAUAAUGUGACCCUUUCUAAUGACCCCGUAUGUGAGUGCAGCUGGUAGUAUUCCGUCUAUGAGAAGGAUCGUCGCUCUCAUAGAUACAGCAUCCAAAUCAGCCGUGUCGUGGUCCAAACGAUUAGAAGAGAAACUUUUAGAAUUGUUAAUAACGGGUCCUUGCUCAUAGACCUACUAAUAGUGCCUACGCAACAACGAUACAUGUACGUUGUGGUCACAAACAAGGUUGGAUGUUCGGUCGAAAAUAACCAGCCCACGAUACCUAUUUUUCUAUAGAACACUACAAGCACGUAAAGAUCGCAGGCCUCCACCAAGGUAGAAUAGUUUUGAAAGUUUCCCUGACUGGCAAUAGUGAAAAUAAUUUUACCUGUCAAAUUUCUUGACUAUUCCUAAAACAUGACCAAUCGACCGAUUAAAUCUUAAAUGAAGACAGAAAGUCCCAACAAUAAAGCGACCAGUCUGGGAACUCAUAACAGUUUUGAAUAAUCCAGUACACAGACUGAAUCAAGUAAACCUACUUUAUUGCUAAUCAUUGCCACUGCUAUGUUCAAACAGUAAAGGAAAAGCGGUUUCUCCAAAGAACUCCUGACGCGAUGAAAUAAUCCGUAAUUUCUGACUGUUGAUGUUGCUAGAACACCACCGCCUUAUUCUUGCCAUGAACACCGCCAAGACAACGCGAGUGGCUCAAAUAUUGGAUGUAAAUACCCUCGAAGAAAGACAGCACCACAUCGCUCUUAAAGUUGUAUAUUUUUUUCCAAAGCGUUCAGUGGCCAUGAAAAAUGAGCUUCUACCACAGGCGUUGAGCACAGGGUGUGAAGGAGACAGCUGAGAGGGAGUCGGCGUCCACGAUAGUAUCGCUGCAGUUCGAUGUCCGGGACUGUCCACUUUACAACCGCGAGAGAGGGGGAGACCAUGAAAAUCAUUGAAGCCCUCUUCCCCAUGAAAUAGCGCUGUAUGGCGUGCGGAAAUCUACGGGCUGAAAACCUGAAAGCCUUGGCAAAACGUCUGACAGUUCUUUAACGAGCUAUGAUCAUCAUCACGUGGUGGGGCAUAAACGGUAUCGUAUCUGAAAACAUAUAAACCUGUAAUUGACGCCCGAGAACUGCGUGAGAUAAUUGGUUUAAUGGUUUUGGCAUAAACGGGAUCUAGUCAGUUAUGUUCGGCUUCCCAUGACAUACGCACAGAGUAUUUUAAUUUUACGAGCCCUGUGCAAUUCUACCGAGGGUCAGAUAGGACGGUUGGCGUCCAUCUAUUUAAUCGGAUUUUGUUGGGGCCAGUGGGGGUGGUUUCAAGUCUUUACAUGUCGUUUGUUAACAGCAAUGGCUAACUAUUCUAUGUGUACCACCCUAAAAUUGAAGAAGCAGUCUGGAACGUAGACAGAUACGUAGAUUACAACGAAGACUUUUCAUACGCUGCAUUAAUUAUAAAAGAAACGAGGUGACUGCAUGCUACAUCAACUAUCGAUAAAUCAGUACAUAUGAAGCAUGGCCUUAAAAAUGCACGCUGCUUGAAUUCUAACUCCUGUGAUUAUAGACAUUUUGUAUCUGCGAUGGUGUGAACGGCCAGAUGAAGGCUGUUCUGAGAAAGUUUUCCAUGACCAGGGUUUCGCAACAGAUACGACCGUUAGACAGCCAAUUCCUCCCUCCCUCUGAAGUGUUCCUUUGCAAUCAACGGAGGAUUUGCUCCACCAUUCAUCCCGAGGUUGACCGCCCCUCAUUACGAGUCCUCUCACAGACAAAACAGGACGGAGAUUUGUCAGAGAAGCCCUGUUACCUAAAAAUGUCUAGCUCCCCCGGGUAUGGGAACGAGAUCCCAUCUACCGGCCGUGCACACGCACACUGUCCCAGGAUUAACUAGACAGGAACACCUCUGUGUCUCAUGCCGCAUAGAAUCCCAAACGGCCAAACACACCCAGCAGAUCAGUCAUUCUGGGGACGCUCUCUCGCGAUUAGUGCCUGGAAACCCUCCCGUUUGUCUCCAUACGACAUCAACAUCAAGUUCCAAUUAUGUAUAAUGCCCUAGGCUCCCAUUCCUUGAAUGAAGAUGAUUUCUUGUUUGAUUCCUAGAAACAUACAACCUGAUCCGAAAUGAUCCUAUUGAAAUGCUUCAUCUUACAAGAGACUUGGAAGCCAACGCGGGACAUUACUGCAGAGUGGACUGAGUGAGAAACGUGACGAUGUGUCGCUUUACCGUCAACAGAGCAGGAUUUACAAAUCGCUUCAGAAAAAUUGCUGAUUCAAAAAGUGUUGAAGAUGACUAAGGUCAACGAUAGUCGUUUUACGUGGCAUUUGUAAAUCAUUGUAAAUAUAGAGAAUAUGUAGAUAGAUAGUAGUCAGUCGAAGGGUUUUUAAGUAAAGUAAUCGCGACAUCUAGCGGUGCUUGUCAAACUGCAGGGUAAAUUGCCAGGGGCUGUAUUCUAUUGUUAUCAAUAUCGGAGUAUCUCUACCGUGUGUAUCAUACUAAAUGUAGCGAAUAACACCAUCAGUAUGCAUAGGUUUUUCCGUUUUAAGCAUAAUGCAGCGAUAGUUAACAUUUGACAAAAAUGUCAACGAUAAACGAUGACUUUUACCACAUCUCAAAUUGCAUGGCAAUGAGUUUAAUGGUAAAACUGCAGACAUGCAAAGUCACAAUACACGUCCUCUACUUGUUGUGCUCAAGAUAUUGACUUCCAAUAUUGAAUCGCAUCGAUUUUAUAAGGAACUCUAAGUUGUAUAUACUUUGGAUAUUAUAACGAUAUUGUUAUACAGGAGAGAAAGAAGAUUUGGAUCCAGGUUUACGUUGUGUUUCUUAGUUACUGUUCUUUUAUCUUCACUUAGGUGUAUAAUGCACUCUAUCAUCACAUGUCACUUUAAAUGCGUAAUAGAUUAUACUGAACUUGUUGUACAGCUAGAACAGUUGGUUGUAUAUUUGAAUAGUUCAUUGUAUUUUUACGGAGGCAUGAACUUGACUUCCGAGUGAAGGGGAUAAGAGACAAUUGGACAAAUACAUCGUUAAUUUUCAAGACGUUUGAUUUCAAAAAGUGGAUUCUAUUAUUGCUUCAUUAUGGAAAUGCACAUCGAAAAUAAACAUUUAAAACAAAAAUAAGCAGAAGUCAGGAUCACUCCUCCCGUAGUUCCUGCUAUGGUAUAACCAAGAAGCUGAUCAGUGAGCACAGUCGGGAUAGACUGUAGAGAUGGUGACAUACUCGCUGUGCGGAGGGCAGAGCUGUAGCCCCUUUUCGUUGUAAUUUUUCGUUCCUAUCCUCAAGCUUAUCUCAAGAUACUGAAGAAAGCUCUUGUUUGUGCACAAGUUCCUAUGCAAUAAACCUUUCUAUACACAACACAAUUUCAACACAACUGCGCCGUGAUUUGUUUCUUAGCGGUACAGCAGACAUUUGCACGCUGGUUAAAGGUCUCAGUACACAAUUUUUUGCCUACGAAGAUUUACAAGGUUAAGGACCCCAAAGUGACGAGGUUCGACGCCUCAGAAUUUAAAGCAGGGUGCAGAAACAAUUUACAAGAAUUUAAUACGUUGAAGUGCAGGGUACAACCUACAAAAUAUUUGGAAAUGAGCAUAGAUUUGUUCUCGCUUUUCUAUAAAAGACACUUUGAUUUGACCCAAGCGGAAGUCAUCGAACUGCAGGCGACGCACAGGCUGGCCUUGUAUAGUACCAAAAUUCACGCCGGUCGAAGAAGCAUCGCAAUCCAACUUAUAAAGUCUAAAAAAUGAUGUAUUCCUCUACCAUUCACCACAGUUUCCACCUCACUGUUGUGCAUGGAAGAAUAACUAUACGGCCUUUGCAAGUGCUGUGACGC
This is an RNA transcript of Branchiostoma floridae (Florida lancelet), 7622 nucleotides long. It is a transcript of the gene named potassium channel subfamily K member 13-like, with no coding region annotated. The transcript has 3 exons. Lineage: Eukaryota; Metazoa; Chordata; Leptocardii; Amphioxiformes; Branchiostomatidae. The record is from RefSeq and is a predicted model, not a curated record.